GACGAACGCUGGCGGCGUGCUUAACACAUGCAAGUCGAACGGAAAGGCCCUGCCUUUGUGGGGUGCUCGAGUGGCGAACGGGUGAGUAACACGUGAGUAACCUGCCCUUGACUUUGGGAUAACUUCAGGAAACUGGGGCUAAUACCGGAUAGGAGCUCCUGCUGCAUGGUGGGGGUUGGAAAGUUUCGGCGGUUGGGGAUGGACUCGCGGCUUAUCAGCUUGUUGGUGGGGUAGUGGCUUACCAAGGCUUUGACGGGUAGCCGGCCUGAGAGGGUGACCGGCCACACUGGGACUGAGACACGGCCCAGACUCCUACGGGAGGCAGCAGUGGGGAAUAUUGCACAAUGGGCGGAAGCCUGAUGCAGCAACGCCGCGUGCGGGAUGACGGCCUUCGGGUUGUAAACCGCUUUCGGCUGUGACGAAGCGUGAGUGACGGUAAUGGGUAAAGAAGCACCGGCUAACUACGUG
RNAcentral lists this ribosomal RNA (468 nucleotides) under uncultured bacterium. Its description in RNAcentral is "partial 16S ribosomal RNA". It matches the Rfam family "Bacterial small subunit ribosomal RNA", at positions 28 to 507 of the family's 1533-position model. The record is from RNAcentral.